AUGGUUCGAGAGGAGGUAGCAGGAUCCACUCAAACACUACAGUGGCAGUGUGUUGAAUCAAGAGUAGAUAGUAAGCGCCUUUAUUAUGGUCGUUUCAUUCUGUCCCCGCUUAGAAAAGGUCAAGCGGACACCGUCGGUAUUGCCUUGCGAAGAGCUUUACUUGGAGAAAUAGAAGGAACAUGUAUCACACGUGCAAAAUUUGGGAGCGUGCCGCACGAGUAUUCUACAAUAGCAGGUAUUGAAGAAUCCGUACAAGAAAUUUUACUAAAUUUGAAAGAAAUUGUAUUGAGAAGUAAUCUCUAUGGAGUUAGAGACGCAUCCAUUUGCGUCAAAGGUCCUAGAUACAUAACUGCUCAAGAUAUCAUCUUACCGCCUUCCGUAGAAAUCGUUGAUACGGCACAACCUAUAGCUAACUUGACAGAGCCCAUUGAUUUCUGUAUUGAUUUACAGAUCAAGAGAGAUCGUGGAUAUCAGACAGAACUCAGAAAGAACUAUCAAGAUGGAAGUUAUCCUAUAGAUGUUGUAUCCAUGCCUGUUCGAAAUGUGAAUUAUAGUAUUUUUUCUUGUGGGAAUGGAAAUGAAAAACACGAGAUACUUUUUCUAGAAAUAUGGACUAAUGGAAGUUUAACCCCUAAGGAAGCACUUUAUGAGGCUUCUCGUAAUUUGAUUGAUUUAUUUCUUCCUUUUCUACACGCGGAGGAAGAGGGCGCUAGUUUCGAAGAAAAUAAAAACAGGUUUACUCCACCCCUUUUUACUUUUCAAAAAAGAUUAACUAAUCUAAAGAAAAACAAAAAAGGAAUUCCAUUGAAUUCUAUUUUUAUUGAUCAAUUAGAAUUGACUUCUAGAACGUAUAAUUGUCUAAAAAGGGCCAAUAUACAUACACUAUUGGACCUUUUGAGUAAGACUGAAGAAGAUCUUCUGAGAAUUGACAGUUUUCGUAUGGAAGAUAGAAAACAUAUAUGGGACACUCUAGAGAAGCAUCUCCCAAUUGAUUUACUUAAGAAUAAACUCUCGUUUUAA
Molecule: ribosomal RNA, 1020 nt
Filed under: Triticum aestivum (bread wheat)
Lineage: Eukaryota; Viridiplantae; Streptophyta; Magnoliopsida; Poales; Poaceae
Description: partial small subunit ribosomal RNA
Source: RNAcentral